This is a non-coding RNA of Pelobates cultripes (western spadefoot toad), 270 nucleotides long. The record is from the annotation of a GenBank genome assembly. Lineage: Eukaryota; Metazoa; Chordata; Amphibia; Anura; Pelobatidae.
CUCCACUGUAAGUCUCGCGCUCUGACCCCGUGGCUCUCGCGAGACUUACAGUGGAGCUGACCAGACCGGAGGAGAAGGGAGCUGACAGGGGCUGCAGGAAAGGUAAGUAACAGCUCUCUGUUACUUAUAUAAUGCAGAGUGUGUGUUUGUAUGAGUGUGUGCGUAUAUAAUGUAGAGUGUGUGUUUGUAUGAGUGUGUGUGUAUAAUGCAGUUUGUUUGUAUGAGUGUGUGUGUGUAUAAUGCAGAAUUUGUGUAUGAGUGUGUGUGUAU